GAUGAAGAACGUAGCGAAAUGCGAUACGUAAUGUGAAUUGCAAAUUCAGUGAAUCAUCGAGUCUUUGAACGCACAUUGCGCCCGCCAGUAUUCUGGCGGGCAUGCCUGUUCGAGCGUCAUUUCAACCAUCAAGCCCCCGGCUUGUGUUGGGGACCUGCGGCUGCCGCAGGCCCUGAAAACCAGUGGCGGGCUCGCUAGUCACUCCGAGCGUAGUAAUACAUCUCGCUCAGGGCGUGCUGCGGGUUCCGGCCGUUAAAAAGCCUUAUUUACCCAAGGUUGACCUCGGAUCAGGUAGGAAGACCCGCUGAACUUAAGCAUAUCAAUAAGCGGAGGA
RNAcentral lists this unclassified non-coding RNA (334 nucleotides) under soil metagenome. Its description in RNAcentral is "partial contains 5.8S ribosomal RNA, internal transcribed spacer 2, and large subunit ribosomal RNA". The stretch from base 1 to 119 matches the Rfam family "5.8S ribosomal RNA", at positions 35 to 154 of the family's 154-position model. The record is from RNAcentral.